GAUGAACGCUGGCGGCGUGCCUAAUACAUGCAAGUCGAGCGAACGGACGAGAAGCUUGCUUCUCUGAUGUUAGCGGCGGACGGGUGAGUAACACGUGGAUAACCUACCUAUAAGACUGGGAUAACUUCGGGAAACCGGAGCUAAUACCGGAUAAUAUUUUGAACCGCAUGGUUCAAAAGUGAAAGACGGUCUUGCUGUCACUUAUAGAUGGAUCCGCGCUGCAUUAGCUAGUUGGUAAGGUAACGGCUUACCAAGGCAACGAUGCAUAGCCGACCUGAGAGGGUGAUCGGCCACACUGGAACUGAGACACGGUCCAGACUCCUACGGGAGGCAGCAGUAGGGAAUCUUCCGCAAUUGGCGAAAGCCUGACGGAGCAACGCCGAGUGAGUGAUGAAGGUCUUCGGAUCGUAAAACUCUGUUAUUAGGGAAGAACAUAUGUGUAAGUAACUGUGCACAUCUUGACGGUACCUAAUCAGAAAGCCACGGCUAACUACGUG
Molecule: ribosomal RNA, 497 nt
Filed under: uncultured bacterium
Lineage: Bacteria
Description: partial 16S ribosomal RNA
Rfam family: Bacterial small subunit ribosomal RNA
Source: RNAcentral